RNAcentral lists this long non-coding RNA (573 nucleotides) under Homo sapiens (human). RNAcentral's name for it is "non-protein coding lnc-PHLDA1-2:1". The record is from RNAcentral. Lineage: Eukaryota; Metazoa; Chordata; Mammalia; Primates; Hominidae.
CUUUUUUAGCGCCAUCUGCUCGCGGCGCCGCCUCCUGCUCCUCCCGCUGCUGCUGCCGCUGCCGCCCUGAGUCACUGCCUGCGCAGCUCCGGCCGCCUGGCUCCCCAUACUAGUCGCCGAUAUUUGGAGUUCUUACAACAUGGCAGACAUUGACAACAAAGAACAGUCUGAACUUGAUCAAGAUUUGGAUGAUGUUGAAGAAGUAGAAGAAGAGGAAACUGGUGAAGAAACAAAACUCAAAGGUAUUACUUUAAAUUACUUCAGGAGCCAGUGAUUGCUGGCACAUGUCUACUAGAGGGUAGUUAUAAGUACCAGUCUAUUUUUUUGGACCCUUGCUCAUUGUCCCAUUUAUCUACUGGUCCAUACUUCUAGUGUGUGUGUGUGUGUGUGUGUGUGUGUGUGUGUGUGUGUGUGUAAGGGGCGGGUAGGUAUAGAUACAGCAACUCAAUUAGAAGUCAUUGUUUGCAUCCUGCACUGUUGGAGUGACUUGGUGUACUUGUGUCAAACAGCUGCCCAUGAGUUUUGUCUGAAUUUAGAAAUGUUACAGGUUGUGAUGUGGUGCUUAUAACAGUA